AGAGUUUGAUCAUGGCUCAGAUUGAACGCUGGCGGCAGGCCUAACACAUGCAAGUCGAGCGGUAGAGAGAAGCUUGCUUCUCUUGAGAGCGGCGGACGGGUGAGUAAUGCCUAGGAAUCUGCCUGGUAGUGGGGGAUAACGUUCGGAAACGGACGCUAAUACCGCAUACGUCCUACGGGAGAAAGCAGGGGACCUUCGGGCCUUGCGCUAUCAGAUGAGCCUAGGUCGGAUUAGCUAGUUGGUGAGGUAAUGGCUCACCAAGGCGACGAUCCGUAACUGGUCUGAGAGGAUGAUCAGUCACACUGGAACUGAGACACGGUCCAGACUCCUACGGGAGGCAGCAGUGGGGAAUAUUGGACAAUGGGCGAAAGCCUGAUCCAGCCAUGCCGCGUGUGUGAAGAAGGUCUUCGGAUUGUAAAGCACUUUAAGUUGGGAGGAAGGGUUGUAGAUUAAUACUCUGCAAUUUUGACGUUACCGACAGAAUAAGCACCGGCUAACUCUGUGCCAGCAGCCGCGGUAAUACAGAGGGUGCAAGCGUUAAUCGGAAUUACUGGGCGUAAAGCGCGCGUAGGUGGUUUGUUAAGUUGGAUGUGAAAUCCCCGGGCUCAACCUGGGAACUGCAUUCAAAACUGACUGACUAGAGUAUGGUAGAGGGUGGUGGAAUUUCCUGUGUAGCGGUGAAAUGCGUAGAUAUAGGAAGGAACACCAGUGGCGAAGGCGACCACCUGGACUAAUACUGACACUGAGGUGCGAAAGCGUGGGGAGCAAACAGGAUUAGAUACCCCUGGUAGUCCACGCCGUAAACGAUGUCAACUAGCCGUUGGAAGCCUUGAGCUUUUAGUGGCGCAGCUAACGCAUUAAGUUGACCGCCUGGGGAGUACGGCCGCAAGGUUAAAACUCAAAUGAAUUGACGGGGGCCCGCACAAGCGGUGGAGCAUGUGGUUUAAUUCGAAGCAACGCGAAGAACCUUACCAGGCCUUGACAUCCAAUGAACUUUCUAGAGAUAGAUUGGUGCCUUCGGGAACAUUGAGACAGGUGCUGCAUGGCUGUCGUCAGCUCGUGUCGUGAGAUGUUGGGUUAAGUCCCGUAACGAGCGCAACCCUUGUCCUUAGUUACCAGCACGUUAUGGUGGGCACUCUAAGGAGACUGCCGGUGACAAACCGGAGGAAGGUGGGGAUGACGUCAAGUCAUCAUGGCCCUUACGGCCUGGGCUACACACGUGCUACAAUGGUCGGUACAGAGGGUUGCCAAGCCGCGAGGUGGAGCUAAUCCCAUAAAACCGAUCGUAGUCCGGAUCGCAGUCUGCAACUCGACUGCGUGAAGUCGGAAUCGCUAGUAAUCGCGAAUCAGAAUGUCGCGGUGAAUACGUUCCCGGGCCUUGUACACACCGCCCGUCAAGCCAUGGAAGCUGGGGGUGCCUGAAGUCGGUAACCGUAAGGAGCUGCCUAGGGUAAAACUAGUAACUGGGGCUAAGUCGUAACAAGGUAGCCGUACCGGAAGGUGCGGCUGGAUCACCUCCUUAAGCUUGGAAU
Molecule: ribosomal RNA, 1532 nt
Filed under: uncultured Pseudomonas sp.
Lineage: Bacteria; Pseudomonadati; Pseudomonadota; Gammaproteobacteria; Pseudomonadales; Pseudomonadaceae
Description: bacterial SSU rRNA
Rfam family: Bacterial small subunit ribosomal RNA
Source: RNAcentral